RNAcentral lists this ribosomal RNA (564 nucleotides) under Klebsiella pneumoniae. RNAcentral describes it as "bacterial SSU rRNA". It matches the Rfam family "Bacterial small subunit ribosomal RNA", at positions 864 to 1480 of the family's 1533-position model. The record is from RNAcentral. Lineage: Bacteria; Pseudomonadati; Pseudomonadota; Gammaproteobacteria; Enterobacterales; Enterobacteriaceae.
AUCGACCGCCUGGGGAGUACGGCCGCAAGGUUAAAACUCAAAUGAAUUGACGGGGGCCCGCACAAGCGGUGGAGCAUGUGGUUUAAUUCGAUGCAACGCUAAGAACCUUACCUGGUCUUGACAUCCACAGAACUUUCCAGAGAUGGAUUGGUGCCAUCGGGAGGUUAAGUCCCGCAACGAGCGCAACCCUUAUCCUUUGUUGCCAGCGGUCCGGCCGGGAACUCAAAGGAGACUGCCAGUGAUAAACUGGAGGAAGGUGGGGAUGACGUCAAGUCAUCAUGGCCCUUACGACCAGGGCUACACACGUGCUACAAUGGCAUAUACAAAGAGAAGCGACCUCGCGAGAGCAAGCGGACCUCAUAAAGUAUGUCGUAGUCCGGAUUGGAGUCUGCAACUCGACUCCAUGAAGUCGGAAUCGCUAGUAAUCGUAGAUCAGAAUGCUACGGUGAAUACGUUCCCGGGCCUUGUACACACCGCCCGUCACACCAUGGGAGUGGGUUGCAAAAGAAGUAGGUAGCUUAACCUUCGGGAGGGCGCUUACCACUUUGUGAUUCAUGACUGGGG